RNAcentral lists this ribosomal RNA (435 nucleotides) under uncultured Acidobacteriota bacterium. Its description in RNAcentral is "bacterial SSU rRNA". It matches the Rfam family "Bacterial small subunit ribosomal RNA", at positions 346 to 795 of the family's 1533-position model. Lineage: Bacteria; Pseudomonadati; Acidobacteriota. The record is from RNAcentral.
GGGCUGCAGUGGGGAAUUUUGGGCAAUGGGCGAAAGCCUGACCCAGCAACGCCGCGUGGAGGAAGAAGGUUUUCGGAUCGUAAACUCCUGUCCCACGAGACGAAGAAAGUGACGGUAUCGUGGGAGGAAGCCCCGGCUAACUCCGUGCCAGCAGCCGCGGUAAUACGGGGGGGGCAAGCGUUGUUCGGAAUUACUGGGCGUAAAGGGCGCGUAGGCGGCUUCGGAAGUCAAGGGUGAAAGCCCCGAGCUCAACUCGGGAACUGCCUUUGAAACCACGGAGCUAGAGUGUUGGAGAGGAAAGCGGAAUUUCCAGUGUAGCGGUGAAAUGCGUAGAUAUUGGAAGGAACAUCUGAGGCGAAGGCGGCUUUCUGGACAAACACUGACGCUGAGGCGCGAAAGCUAGGGGAGCAAACGGGAUUAGAUACCCCAGUAGUC